UGGGGAAUAUUGCGCAAUGGGGGCAACCCUGACGCAGCCAUGCCGCGUGAAUGAAGAAGGCCUUCGGGUUGUAAAGUUCUUUCGGUAGCGAGGAAGGCAUUUAGUUUAAUAGACUAGGUGAUUGACGUUAACUACAGAAGAAGCACCGGCUAACUCCGUGCCAGCAGCCGCGGUAAUACGGAGGGUGCGAGCGUUAAUCGGAAUAACUGGGCGUAAAGGGCACGCAGGCGGUGACUUAAGUGAGGUGUGAAAGCCCCGGGCUUAACCUGGGAAUUGCAUUUCAUACUGGGUCGCUAGAGUACUUUAGGGAGGGGUAGAAUUCCACGUGUAGCGGUGAAAUGCGUAGAGAUGUGGAGGAAUACCGAAGGCGAAGGCAGCCCCUUGGGAAUGUACUGACGCUCAUGUGCGAAAGCGUGGGGAGCAAACA
RNAcentral lists this ribosomal RNA (427 nucleotides) under uncultured bacterium. Its description in RNAcentral is "bacterial SSU rRNA". It matches the Rfam family "Bacterial small subunit ribosomal RNA", at positions 355 to 774 of the family's 1533-position model. The record is from RNAcentral. RNAcentral also lists the same sequence under 1 other name.